Molecule: long non-coding RNA, 14902 nt
Filed under: Homo sapiens (human)
Lineage: Eukaryota; Metazoa; Chordata; Mammalia; Primates; Hominidae
Description: HSALNT0119393
Rfam family: 7SK RNA (bases 643-941)
Source: RNAcentral
UCUUGCUUUCUCCACCGCAGCCACACUGGCCUUUUGGUUCCUGCAGCCACAAGGCUCUGCCUAUGCUCCUAGUUCUAUGUGGGAUGUCUUCCACUUACCCACUCCCUCCCUUUGCCUGAAUAAUGCCUCCUUAUCCACACAUUUCAGCUCCAACAUCAUUUCACCAGAGAAACCAUUCCUAAGCCUCUAUCAGUCACCAUCAAGUUCCUCUGUGUUCUGGUUUAAAUGUGUUCCCUCCAAAAUUCAGGUGUUGAAACUUAAGGGUCAAUAUGAUAUUAUUAAAUGGUAGGGCCUUUAAGCAGCGAUGAGGUCAUGAGAGCAUUUCCUAUCAUAAAUCGGAUAAGGCCAUUAUAAAAUAGGCUUCUUGCAGCCUUUGGUGGGCUUGCCCUUUCGCCUUCUACCCUGUAAGGACACAGUGUCCCUCCCCUCAGGUGGCUGCAGCAACAAAGUGCCAUUUUGGAGGCAGAGAAAGACCUCACAAGACAAUCAAAUCUGCUGGCACCUUGAUCUUGGACUUGAUCCCAGCCUCCAGAACUUUUCUGGCAACCCCCUGUUUCUAUGAGCUCAACUAUUUUAGAACCCACAUCCAUCCCAACAGGUGUGAGGCUUGCAGUACAAUAUUGGAUAGCAAUAGAAAGAUUGGUAUGUGAAAGCAAUCUGACUGCAACAUCUGUCAACUCAUUCAUCACCAGGGUUGAUUUGGCAGAUCACUGGCUAUGCAGAGAUCCCCUUCCUCCUUCACUGCUUCACGUGCUUUUCUCCUGAAGCUGAGCACUUAGUUGAAGAGGAUGACGUUCCUCAAUAGAGGAGUACCAUUCUGUGAUCAAGGGUACACAAGUAGCUGCACUUCCCUGAUAGAAUCUCCAAACAUGAUCUCAAGAAGUAGCAAGAUUAUCCUGUUACUGAUCUUACAGAAUAUAGAUCAUCCACAAAAAAAGAAUCAAUAAGAAAACAGUGGACUUGAAAAACACUACAGAUCAAAUGGACAUAAAAGACAGAUGGAGAACAUUCCAUCUAGCAGCAGCAGAAUACACAUUCUCCUCAAGUGCACACAGAACAUUCUCCAGGACAGAUUACACAUUAGGUCACAAAACAAGUCUUAACAGAUUUAUGAAGACUGAAAUCACACCAAGUAUCUUUUCUGACCACAAGAGUAUGAAACUAGGAAUCAAUAACCAGAGGAAAAUUGGAAAUUCACAAAUAUGUGACAAUUAAGCAACAUAUUUCUGGGAAACCAAUGGGUCAAAUAAGAAAACAAACAUAAAUAAAAAAUUAAUCUAAAUGAAAAUGAACACACAAUAUGCCAAAACAAGGGAUGCAGCAAAAGCAGUUCUAGGAAAGAAGUUUAUAGCAAUAAAUGCCUACAGUACCAAAAAAGAAAGAUCUCAAAUAAACAACAAACCUUUACAAAUAACUAAAAAAAAGAAGAGUAAACUAAGCCCAAAGUUAGCACAAAGAAGGAAAUAAUAAAGAUUACAGCAGAAAUAAAUGAAAUAAAAACAUUAAAAAUUAGAAAAGGUCAACAAAACAGUUGGUUUCAGACAAGAUGAAUGAAAUGACAAUCCUUUGACUAGAUUAACUAAUAAAAAAAGAUAUCAGACUCAAAUAAAAUCAGAAUUGAACAAGACUUAACAACUGAUACCACAGAAAUAAAAAGGAUCAUAAAAGACUAUGAAUAACUAUAUGCCAACAAAUUGGAUAACCUACAGACACAGAUAAAUUCCUAGCCACAUAUAUCCUGCUGAGAAACAGAGUCUUCAUGAAGAAACAGAAAAUCUGAAGCAGGCAACAGCAAGGAGAUUGAAUCAAAAAUUUAAAAAUCCCAACAAAGUAAAACCCAGGACCAAAAAGCUUCAUUGAUCCUACAGCUCUGGAGACUGGGAAGAAGGAAAAAUCAUAAAGACUGGAUUAGCAAUGCAAGUUGGUGAUCUCUCUGGGUUCUUCAAAGGCCUUCAGUCACAGCAGACAUCCAAACACUGUUCCUUAUGAAUGGGAACACUCUCAGGUCCACUGUCAGUGACCUGUAUCUGCUAAGUUCACUGAGAUGCGUCAUGCACUCACUGGCUGACCUUGCAGGCCUUCAUCAGCUCUUUCACAUGCCUCCAGUCUCAUUCUACUGGUGGCUUUUCCCUUGCAGGCAACCAUUGUUGGUGAAAUCCUUUCAUGAUUAAAAUUGGCUUCUGCGCAGUGUCCACUGGCCCGCAGGGGGAAAAAUCCUUGCCCCACCAACAGUUUUUGCAUCUGUGCAGCUGCUGACUUCUCUCUCUUGGACCUAUCCACAUGGGCACGUUCAGCCAGCUCUCCACUUAUCUCUUCUCCAGGUGACAAGCCUGAGUAUUCCUCGAUCUUUACAUAAGCUCUCAAACUCCUGACACAUUUAUCAGGCCUUCUAGUGAACGUCCUACCCCACUCUGGUAACAGUCUAAAGUGAACCUACAAAUUCCUAUAGCUCAACAUGCAACAAGUUAAAGACUGAAAAGCUACUCCUCCUGUUUGUGGACAUGAGUGAUUUCCUUACUGUCCUUCCCCUUCUCUUGCACAUUUAGUUUAAGUGGGACCAAAGCUUAGGAAGGGGACUGAGCAGGAUAGUCAGAAUACUUAAAUUCCUUUUAAGAAUCUUCCACUGGGCCAGGCGCAGGGGCUCAUGCCUGUAAUCCCAGCACUUCGGGAGGCCGAGGCAGGCAGAUCUUUUUGAGCUCAGGAGUUCAAGACCAGCCUGGGCAACGUGGCAAAACACCAUCUCUUCAAAGAAUACAAAAAAUUAGCCAGGCGUGAUGGCAGGCACCUGUAGUCCCAGCUACUCAGGGGGCUGAGGCUGGAGAAUCACUUAAGCCUGGGAAGCAGAGGUUGCAGUGAGCAGAGAUUACGCCCCUGCACACCAGCCUGGGUGACAGAGUGAGACCAUGUCUCAAUAAAAAAGAAAAGAAAAGAAUCUUCCAUCAAUCACAUCUAUGUUCUCUAGUCUUUUGUAAUGUGAACUGGAUUAGGUAAGAUAAUUGCAGUCUUCUUUGGCUGUUUUAAGGAAUUCACUGAAGCAGUAUAUAGUAUGCAUGGUAAAUAUCCAUUGUCCACAGUUUAGGAUUUGGUCAUAAUUGGAGUCAACACAGGUAUUUCAAUGCAUACCUUACUUGUUGAACCAUUUUAGGGUAGACAGCAAUAUAACAUUUUAAGAAAGGCCAAAUGUGUGGCAAAAUGUAUAUGAAAUGCAAUGCAGCUUUCCUUAUUCACAAUCAGCACUUACCACCGUUGCUAUCCUUAUGCCCUAUUAGAAAUAGACCCUUCAUUUUUAAUAUUAUUUACGUAUGCAUACGUGUGUAUGAACCACAGCGUGUUUGUGUGUAUGUGUGAGGGUGGACGUGUACAUGCAUCCCAUCAUGUAGCACUUGACUAUCUCUCUAACCUCAUCUCACUUUCAGACGCUCAGGCCUUGAAGUUUCUUAAACAUGUCAAGACCUGCUUAUUUGCCCCACCCUGAGAGAGCUUCUGUAUUUGCUUUUUUCCUGUGUGGAAUAUUCUUUCCCCACAUAUCUACAUAAUGCUUCCCUUAAUUCACUCAGCACAAAUCUCUCCUUAUCAGUAAAGCUUUCUGAUAAGCUAACAGAGCUAGCCUUCUUGCUCAGCCUUCCUCUAGCUCUCUUUCAUCCUUUACUUUUAUCCAUAACACAUUUUCACAUGAACUUGUAUCAUAUGUCCAUUUGUUUAUCUCUUUAUCAUUGCUCUUCAGCAGGAAACCUAAUUUCCCUGUCUGGAUCACCACAGUAUUUUCAGUAUUUAAAGUAGUUUCUGGCAUAUGAUAGGUACUUGAAACAUGUUUUUUUUAAAUAAAUUAAUCAUUGAUUAUUGAAAUCAGCAAGGUUGCUUGCAGUCUAUUGCAAGGGAUAUAUCACAAAAUAUCACUGACUGGCUGCAUUAAAUUUUGAUUUUCCUAAUACGUAUAUAUUUUAAACAACUUGACUGAGUAAAAUCCACUAAAAAUACAUGGCAAGCAAGACACAGUAUAACAAAUCCAAAAAGAAGACAUUAAAAGAAAUCCAAGAGAAAAAAAAUAGAAAAUCUACAAGAAAUGAUCAUCAGACUAUCAGCUGAUUUUUCCUCAUCAAAAUUGGAAGCCAGAAAAGCACAGAAGAUAUUUAAAGUGCUGAGAGAAACUAUCAACUUUGAACUGUGUACUUAGCAAAGCUGUCUUUCAAGAAUGAGGGUAAAAGACAUCAUAGAUAAAUAAAAACUGAGAAACCGUCAGUAAGGAAAAUCCGAAAAAAUGUCCUGGAAGAAAGAAAACAAUCCCAGAACAGAGGUUUCAGAUACAAUCAUAAAUGGUGAUAAGAAAAAUGGUAAAUAGCGAGCAAGUAUAGAGAAACACUGAUGGUUAAAACAGUACAAUCAUACCUCGUCAGUGCUACUAGUCUUUUAUAAAUACAACUAAAGUCCUAAGCAUGUAAGUUAGGACAUGACUAUUGCUUUAAAAUAGAAAGAAAACAUAAAGUUCUUGUAUUGUUGGUGGGAAAAAAAAGAUAGUGAAGUUUAGGAUGUGUUAUAAGUAGGUUAAAUUUUUAAAGGUAGUUACUAAAAUAAUAGAAAAAAAGUGUGCAUUUUCUGAAAAAAGAGGUCACAUAGAGAAAAAAUAAACUAAUUUAAUUAAAAAUAAAGCAAGGGGCGGGUGAAAGUAAGGGGACAAACCAAUAAUGGAACAAAAAGAAAAAACAAAAUAAGAUGAUAGAGAUAUGUUUCAGUAUAUUAUAAAUCAUAACACAUAUAAGUGAAUUGAACUCCCCAAUUAAAAUACACAGUCAUAUUAGAAAACAAAUCCAGGAAUGCUGUUUAUAGGAGAUAGACCUAGUAUGUAAUAAAGAGAAAGUCUGAAAGUAAAGGAAUGGUAAAUGAUAAGCCAGGAAAAUACUAGAAAAGAAAAAAAGCUGUUUUUGCUAUAUUAAUAUCAUAAAUAUAAUUGAGGAUAAAAAUAUUUACUUAAGAUAAUUAUUAAAUAUUAAUAAAGGAUUUAUAAGCAUAUAAUAGUCUUAAUUUUACUGUACCUAAUAACAGAGUUUUUAAAUAUCUAAAGCAAAAAUUAACAGUUCCAUAAAGAUAAAAAAAUCUAUCAUGAUAUGUGGAAACUUCAACACCACAUUUUUAAAUAGCCAUUAUAGAAUCUUGCAAAAAUCCUGCAGCCAAAUAUGGACUAUUUUAACAAAAUAAUUAAUAAGCUUGUGCUAAUGGACAUAUAAAAUAUUACACUCAAUAAUAUGUGGAUGCCGAUUCUAUUUAAGCACACAAAGAACAUUUUACAAAUAGCAAGAACACUUGUCAAUAAAGCGGGUCUCAUAAACUUCCAGGAACUAGUAUGAUACAGAUCAAAUUUUAUGAAUGUCUUAUAUUUAAAUUGAGUCAAUAACAAAAAUUGUGACUAAAACACUCAUACGUUUGGAAAUUUAAAAAUACACAUUUAAUACACUAAUGGCUCAAAAAAGGAGAUAAUGGAAAUAAGACAUUUUAAAAACUAAACUCUUGAGAAUUCUUUAUAGAAAACAGCAUGUAACUCAAAUAGUACUUAAAGAAAAAUUUAUAGCUCUAAUAAGUAGAAAAGACUACAGGUUGUAAAAUAAUGAGCUAAAUAAUUUAAGAAAUUAUUAAAAGAAAUAUAUGACCUCCCCCCAAAUAAAAUAAAUAAUAAAAAUAGAAGAAAUUCAUAAAAUAUAUGACAUCUACAAAGGCCAAAGUUUGCUCUACAGGAAUUAGAGAAUUGUCAAACUUCUGACAGAGUUGAUCAAGAAAAAGAGGAAAAAUAAGCGGUAUGAUAAUGAAAAAGAUAUAUUGCUAAAGCUCCUGCAAACAUUGAAGUGUUAAAAGAGGAUAUUAUGAACGGAUUCAUAUGACUAAUUUUGAAAAUUUGGCUCCAAUAUGUAAAUGUCAAGAAAAAAUACAACACUCCUAAAUUGACUCAAAAAGAAAUACAAAUUCCAAAUAGUUUCAUAAUAAUGAAAGAAUUUGAAUCAGUAGUUACAAAUCUUCCUAAAUAACAAGGCUCUGUGACUUUAGAGGAAAGUUUUACCAAACGUUGAGAAAACAAAUUUCCCAAUUUUUACCGAACUAUUACUCUAAAGUAGAGAAAUAUAGAGACAGUCUCAUAUUCACUUUAUGAAGCCCUGAUGCACUAGAUUGAUGGGUCUUUAUAAGAAUUACAGACCAAUUUCAGUAAUUAACUUAUAUGCAAAAAUUCCAACCAAAAUAUUAUUAGCAAACCAAAUGUGGAAAUGCAUAACAAUGAUAAUAAAUCAUAACCAAGGUAGAUGUAUCUCAAGAAUACAAAAAUUUUUAAUAUUUAAUUAAUAUAACUUAUCACAUUAAGAAAUUAAAUAGAAUUCACUUCAUAAUACCAAUAGCCACCUAUAAAACAUUUCAUACAAUGUAAAAUUCUCUCACAGGAGAAAGAAAAUUCUUAGAAAAGUAGAAAUGAAAGGUAAUUUCUUCCACAAAAUAUAAAAUAUUUACAAUAGCCUGUAGUAAACAUAAUAUUUAAUGGUGAAACAGAUAAUCUAGAAAGACACAAGAAUACUCACCAUGUUCAAUUGUCUUCAGCAUUAUAUCAGAGAUUUUAGCCCAUGUAAUAAGGAAAUACAAAUUUUAAAAUGGCAUAAUUAUUGGAAAAAAAGAAAUAAAACUGUCAUUAUUUGCAGAUGAUAUCAGAAAGAAACCCCAAAUGACUUAUAAAUUGUUACUAGUUUUGCAAUAAUAAUGAUGUACAAUUAGCAAAAAAUAAACAGCCCCUUUGUACAUCAGAACAGAGAAUGUAAUUGUAAUAAGAUGCCACUAAAAUUCUUUUCAAAAACACAAAUUACCUACAUAUAUAUAUUUUUUGUCUUUGGAGAAAUUAUUAUUAUUAUUAUUAUUAUUUUGAAACAAGGCCUCGCUCUGUCUUCCAGGCUGGAAUGAGACAGCACGAUCUUGGCUCACUGCAGCUUUGACUUCCCGGGCUCAAGCAAUCCUCCCAUCUCAGCAUCCUGAGUAGCUGGGACAACAGGUACAUGCCACCCCACCUGGCUAAUUUUUGUAUUUUUUGUAGAGACAGGGUUUUGCCAUAUUGUCCAGGCAGGUCUCAAACUCCUGAGCUCAAGUAAUCCACCCACUUCAGCCUCCUUAAGUGCUGGGAUUACAGGCAUGCACCGCCAUCCCUUGCCCAAGAAGAAAUUAUAAAACUUGAUUAAGAAACUUCAAAGAAAGUAUAAAUAAAUGUAAACAUAUGCUCAGAAACAAAUAGACUCAAUCAUCUAAAAAUGUUAAUUAUUGUCAAACUCAUCUGUAGAUUCAAUGCAAAAAAACCUCUCAUGGAAUGUUUCAUGCAAAAUGACACGGUGAGUUUAAACUAUACAUUUAAGAACAAAGAAAAUGUCAAGAUCUAGUGAGGAAGAAUAAGAAAGUGAAAAAAUUUUUCCUAUCAGAUAGUCAAGACCUCUUAUAAAGUUGAAGUAAUGAGUAGUAUGUGGUACUGAUUCAGAGAUAGGUGAAUGGACUAAUGGGGUAAAACAGAGCAUGUAUUAAAUUCACCAUCAUUUUUGAAGGACAGAUUUGUUGGACAUAGAAUACUUGGUGAUGGUCUUUUUCUUUCAGCACUUUGAUGAUGUCAUCCCACUGCCUUCUGGCCUACAUAGUUUAUGAUGAGACCUAAGUUGUUGAUUUUAUUGAGGAUUUUUGGAGGUGAUGAGUUGCUUCUCUUUUGCUGUUUUUAAGAUUUUUUUCUCAUCAUUGGAUUUCAAUGGUUUCAUUAUGGUGCGUCUAGGUAUGGAUCUCUGAGUUUAUCCUAGUUGGAGCACUGAGCUUCAUGAAUAUGUUGAUUAAUGUUUUUAUUGAAUUUGGGAAAUAUUCAGCCGUAAUUUCUUCAAAUAUUCUUUCUUCCCCUUUCUCUUUUCUUCUCUGAAACUUAUUAUGCAUAUGUUGGUACAUUUGAUCAUGUCCUACAGACCUUUGAAACUCUGUUCAUUUUUCUUCAUUCUCUUUUCUUCCUGGUCUUCAGACUAGAUAUCUUCAGGUUUGCUGACAUUUUCAUCUGCCUGCUCACAUUUCUACUAAGCCCUUCUAGUAAAUUUUUCAUUUAAGUUAUCGUGUUUUUCAAAUCCAGAAUUUUCCUUGGUUCUUUUAUUUUAACAAUGUCUGUGUCUUUAUUAGUAUUCUGUUUAUAGAGUCAUACAUCCUCAUACAAUCUUUAGACAUGGCUUAACUUACUUCUUUAAAUUAUUAAAAAUAUCUAGCUUAGUUUUUGUCUAGUAAGUCUGAUAACUGAGCUAACUCAGGGACAGUUAUUAUUGACUGAUUUGUUUUUCCUCUGUGUGGGGCAUUCUUUCUUGUUUCUUUGCUUGUCUCAAACAUUUCUGUGGAAAACUGGACAUUUUAAACAAAACAGUAUGGUAAAACUAGAAGUCAUAUUCUCACCUCUUUCCAGGAUUUGUUGUUGUUCCUUUUUGUUAUCGUCAUUUUCUUAGUGACUUUUGUGAAAUCGUUGUGUAAAAUCUGUGUUCUAUGUUUUAUAUGCUACUGAAGUCUUUGCAUUGUUAGCUUAGUGGUCAGUCAAUGAUUGGAUAAAUAUAUUUCUUUUAAUGCUUAAAACCAGCACUCCCCCAGCCUUUGCCGAGGGGCUCUGUGUGUGUGUGUGUGUGUGUGUGUGUGUGUGUGUGUGUGUGUGUGUGUGUGUGUCUUAGGGCACAUUUUAAAUAUUUAGCCAGGCAGCUGACAACUCUACCCGGACCUUCACUUCCUGUUUGAACAGAGCCUCAAAAUCAGUUUGACAUAAGAGCUUAGGGCCUUUUCAGGUCUUUCCUGAGUAGGAACACAAAUCUGAGUAUGCAUAUAGCCCUAUCAUACAUGUGGCUUUCUAGAUUCUUAGGAAUCUGAUGGGGCUUUUCAUAGUCCUUAUGCACAUUCCUCAGGUUUUCUUUGAUGCUUUUGGCUAACCUACUGUUUGCCCCAUUGUUAUCCACCACCUCAAGCAGCCAUAAAGUUGAGUGAUCGCCACUAAUUUUUCACAACAAAUACUUCUAAGAAAAAGGCUUUCACACUGUGUGAAAACCUCAUGAAGCCAAAUAAAGCCUUGCAAGUAAGUUAUGCAGGGAAGCACUGGACAGGUCAAAUAAUGACAAUUCUCUAGGAUUGAGGCUUUGAAGGAGUUCCAAUUCCAUUAUCCACUCCCUUAUCUCCCCAUCAGAGGUUGGCAAGUUACUAGUUUAUGCUAAGAAUGCAGGCUGUGAUUUGGUAAGGCUACCAUGGACCUAGAAAGGGGAAGAUGGAAAUACGAUGAGUUAAAACACCACAAAUCUCUCUGUUCUCACCAAAAUUCAGCUGGUUUGUUUUUUGAAACAUGCUUCCUGAGUUGUUGGAAGACUUUGAUUACUUUCCUGAGUUUUGAAAAAUUUCAUCCUGACACAUUUUGCCUGUUUUAUCAUUGUUUUUAUGGAGAAAAGAAUUUUUGAACUCUUAGACUGACACUUUGCUGAUGUCAUUGUGGUAAAAUGACUUUGGAAUUCCACUUGGCAUUACCUCCUGAAAUUUACUGUGAAAGUAGCCUAGGAGCGGACUGUUUUACUCUUUGUUAUACUCUAGUGAAAGAGCAGCCAUGUUCAAGGGUGUUCAUAUAGCAUUAUUCAAAAAAGCAAAAACCUGGAAACAACAACAAUGUCUUGCAGAAGAAUAAAAAUAUAAAUUAUGGUGCAAAGGGAAUAUUUUAUAGCAAUGAAAAUGAAUUAAUCAUUCAUAUAUAUAUAUAUAUAUCUCCACAUGGAUAAAUCCUCAUAAUAUACCUUUUAGGGGAAAUAUGCUGAAGAAGAAUAUAUUCGAUAAGGUUCCAUUUUUAUAAAGCAAAAAGCAUGUUUAAAGCUAUUAACAAGACGAAAGGAAUUUUUUUUUUUUUCUGAGAUGGAGUCUUACUCUGCCACCCAGGCUGGAGUACAGCAGUGCAAUCUCGGCUCACUGUAACCCCUGCCUCCUGGGUUCAAGCGAUUCUCAUGUCUCAGCCUCCCACAUAGCUGGGAUUACAGGCGCCUGCCAACACACCUGGCUAAUUUUUUGUAUUUUUAGUGAGCACGGGGUUUUGCCACGUUGGCCAGGCUGGUCUUGAACACCAGACCUCAAGUCAUCCACCCGCCUCAGCCUCCCAAAGUGCUGGGAUUACAGGCAUGAACCACUGCGCAGGGCCAUAAUUUAAAAAAAUAUAAUAGAUUAAUGACUAUCUGGUUUUAAAAUAUAGGAAUGAGAUAAGUACUGAGAGAAUUUUAAUAUUGUGAGCAAAGUUCAAUUCUUAAAUUGGAUGAGGAGUUCGUGGGUAUUUAUUUUAUUAUUAUAUUUUGUUAGGUAAGAAUGUAACUUCUUGUCUUUUUGUAUGUCUCAAAUGUUUUAUAAUAAUAAAAAAGAUAAAAUUUUGCUUACUUAAAAUAGAUAGUUUUAGCCCCUUUUUUAAAUGUAUAUUUGUGCUAUCUGUAAAAGAAUGUCCUGAUAGAGUGGUUGAAAGAAAACAGAGGAUUAUCAGAUUUACAUAUUUUAUUAUUUAUUAACCUAUCUGCAGGAUCUUAAAAGGUUACUUAAUGUCUUUGAGCCAGUAUCCUGUACUUACUUCAAGGGUACAUUGUGAGAAUAAUAGUAAAUUACAUAUAAACUGGCUGCCUAUAGAAGGCACUCAAUGAGUAGCAGUUAUUAUUAGCAACAUGACAUCAUAAUACACACUCAAACUCAUAUUCAUUCAGUAUAUGCUCAAAUUCAUCCAUCACUCAGAUAACCAGGUGUUUAGGAUUUUUUUUGUUUUUGUUUGUUUUGAUAAAUAUGUCCAGAAGCUAAAAGCAACUUUGACUAUUUUAUGAAGACAUGGUAGCAUUGUCAAAAGAACACCAAAGUGAAUCUUUAUAUUAAACUUCAAUAAGUAUCAAUCCUUUUUUAUUUAUGAUUACAAAAUGUUCACCUUUUAGAGCUAUUUCUAUGUCUUUGACAUACUUUCUAAAAUGUCCUAUAAAACAAUAAAACCAUUUUGAGAUAAUUAUUCUUCCAAUUAUGAUUUCCAAUACACCAAACAUGCCAACAAUUUCAGAAUAUUUUUGUUCCUUUGUAAGAGAAUCUGAGAAAUAGCCAAUUUGAAUACCUGUAAAUUUGAGGAAUUCCUUCUUAUGUAUUUUUAAAAAUGUAUUGUUUAAAAACUUGGAAAGUCUGAAAGUCCCCAUGAUUUUCACUGAGCUCCACUGAGCAGGUCUAUGCUGUGCCAAAAAAUAUACCAAUUUGCUGAUAUAGUUUGCUGCACAUGUUCUAUUUAAGCAUUAACAGGAAACCCACCCCCUGUGCCUGGUUCAUUCUUCUAAUUCCUUCAGCUCAUCAAUAUCCCCUGGGGGAAGAAAGGAAAGGACCUAUCAAAAGUUAGGAGGUUAGCCAUGGUCAAGUUCAGCAUCAAACAAAAUUUCCAAGUCAUACAAUUUUUUCUGGCAUUUUCUUUUUUUGUGCACAUUUCUUAUCUUUUAGGUCCUCAUCCUCUGUGAUCUCAGAGACCUCCUCUAGCUAGCUCUCAUCUCUUAUUUCCACACUAUAUCCAGGCACAUCAUAUUUCAAAUAAAGCUCUUAAUUUUACUCUAUUUUCCAAGAAAAAUUAGUGCAAUCUCAUACGAUGUGGUAUCGUAACAUGCCAAUUUUAUUUAAUUAAAUGUUGAUUUACUGGGAGAAUGGGAUAGAAUAUGUGAGAACUGAAUGUAGAUGCAGAAAAAUGAAUAACAAAAUGCUCAAGUCUUUUCUUUUCACAUUUCUUAUUACUUACCAGUGUCCUUGAAUAAGCUUCCCUAUUUUCUUCCAAGUUCUGAAUGAAUCGAAUCCACAAACCAUGAGUAAUAAUGCUCCUGGCCUGCAGGUAUAUCAGCCCCAUCAUAUUUGAGUCUGGGACACGUAGGCACUGGGUAGUUUUUGUGGUUGUUGAAUAGCGGUCCACAAACAUGGCUGUCUACCUCAGUUACACAUGUUCUUUACUAUGGCUCCAAAUCAUUUGUGAGUUCUACUUUUCCCCCAUGGCAUCUCUGUAGCCUUACCCAAAUUAUUAGCAACCCAGGGCUUCAGUCUCUUGACCUGUCAGCAUAGUACCAGUGCCUCUGUUAUGAUUCUGCCUAUCUUGGACUUUUACAAUGGACUUGGCAAUCAGAAAGAUAACCCAGCUGCACAAUCUGGAAUGUUCAUCAAAGCAAACUGAAAUUUCAGAAUAUCUACCGCUUGGGAUGCCAUAGUGUUAUAAUUGAGAUUCAUAUCCACUUUUCAUUUGCAAAUAGCUCAAAAUGCCAGUGCCAUGGAUGACCUUCAAUAUUAUCAAUUCCACCUAGAUGAUUGUGCAGAACCAGAAAUUGAGCCCCAGAAAAGUUACAGAUUUGCCACAAAUGACACACUAUGCAAGUGGUGGAACCUGGACUAAGAUUUCUUGAUUCUUAGGCUGGCUUUUCUUUUUUUUUUUUUUUUUUUUUUUUUUUUACUGUUUUCUUUUCUUUUUAAACCAUGCCUGCUGAUUCCUUAACCAGAGGAAGGGAAGAAAUUUGUACCAAUCGUUGUUCUCAAUAUAAAUACCUGAUGUUACUACAGCUGGUGGUCAGCAUGCCCAUACUAUGUGUUGUUGACACAUUGUUUGGAACUGGCUAUUUUAAAUGGAUAACUUCUAAACAUGGAAUUAUGUUUUUAUUCAACUAUCUUCGUGCAUAUAUUUGGCAAUUCUGCACACAGUGAAGCUAAUAAUGAUGCUUCUGAUGACUGAAACACGUGGGCAUUCUACUUGAGAAGGUUUCUGAAUUAUUGCUUAAACUUACACAAACUUAAAACAAUUAGAAAUUGUGAAAGCUAACAUAAUAAUUAUCUUUGUUAUCAAAGAGCUGUGCCAGCAUAAUCUUUAAAAUUAUAAUAUUGUGGCCUGGCUGAUUUCUGCCAUUUGGAUUCUUUUUAAAAUAAGAUGUUCAAAUUUUAUUUUAAAGUGUUAAUUUAUUGCAGUGGUGCAAGUACAACACAAGCACUCAAAUAGGAAGAAUUUUUCCUCAAGUUCUACUGGGAGAUAGCCAAAACCUCUCCACAGGCUGAUUCCUUUCCUCUUUUUAUUUGCUCAUUUUCAAAGGUAAAGACUGAAGAGUAAGCACCACAUUAAUGACCCCAUAUAUCCCCUGAGAUGAGCAAUGUCCUAAUACUACUUAUGUCAAAUAUAUACAGGCACAUCUACUUUUUAAAUAGAGCUCACCCUAUCAAAAUUAUAUUUCCGUAGGCUCUGACUCUUUAAAGAGUUAAGAGUAAAGACUUCUUGGACAAACGUUGCAUUGUGAAGUGCACAUUCCUACUCCACAUUUUUAAUCACAACUGGAAGAGUCCCAUGUAAUUGAAUAAAAAUUCACUAGACAUAAAGAAAAGUAAUCCUAAUUACAUUUUAUCUUGGUUUCACAAAACUCACAGUGCAUAUGUUAUUGGUCAUAAUAUAUUUCCCUAAGCCCCGCAAUUGCUAAAAAUACCGAAUCAAUCACGACCCAGAUUGCGUCAUGAAGUGUGUGAACUAGUGCAUUAAAAGGCCGUGUUAGCACCAACAAAGUUUAUUGGGGUAACUGCAUUCAAGACGCACAUGGCGUACCUUUAAAUAGCACUGUUAAAAUACCAAAUAAAAUGUCAACGUCUGUCAGGUCUCUAGCUUUUAUAAAUUGUUUAGACUGGGAAACGCUGGGGUUUGGACAUUGUUCUUUUCAUACGAUGUAGAAAAGAAGAGACCAUAAAAAGAAAAGAACAAUAAAGCAUAGCUCAUUUUUUAAGUUCUUUCAUGGAAAAACACACUCUGGAUCAUUACCCUUCUAAUCAACAAUUUCCUUCCUCCUCCCAAUCCUUCCCGUCUGGUAUUUACCUUUCUCUGCCUCCCUCUCUCUGGGUGGUAUUCUGAGCUUAUACACACUUCUCAGUAAUCAUAUUUUUAAAAUUGCCUCAAAAGAGAAUCUCAGGAUGGCAUGACAGACAUGUAUAUACUAAAGGUAUUUUUUACCUGAACCAUAGCUUUGCUUAUUAUCUCUGUGCUCUUACAUGCACACCGGUGGGCCCUGACUGCAGAGUGUUCUCAGGCAGAAGAAGGCCCUGAGAGCAGGAUGAGCUGCUCCCUGCCUACAGAUGAGUUAUUAUCACACCUUAGUGGCCAUCUCUACCCUCUUCCUUCUGCCCUUCCUUUUAUUACCACGCCACACUCCCCGCAAUUCCCACAUAACAACAUCUCUGUUUCAGUUUCUUCUCUGGAUUUCCCACACUUAAUGCAACCCGGACCUCACCUUCAGCUCUCCUGAGGCCACUUUGGAAGCCAGCUCGAUGACACAGCCAACAGCCAUGCGUGCAGCACCGGACGAGUGUAGCUCAUUCCAAAUGGUGUCACUGUCCACCUGAGCAAACAGUCAGCAGAGUCCGAAGACAGAAGAAGAAAGCGAAAGAGAAGGAAGAGAUGAAAGGGUGAUAGCAUCAAGAGGGCCACUUCCUUAAGAGAGCUCUGAUUUCAACUGCUGAAGAACAUCUUGACAGUAGGAAAAAACUAUAGACUGCAGAAAGCUGGACUCAAGGGGUGCGGCACAAACAAGGAACACAGAAAGCGACAUGUGAGCAAACGAGAGAGAAAAAUGUUUCAGUUUUCAGCGCUUUGCAGUCUUGAUAUCAGAAAACCUGCACAUUCCAAAGUGUUUCACCACAGAUGAAUGUAUUUCCUUACUUAGAUUUGAUUUAAAACAAAGAGGUAUUUUACAGUCACCUAUGUGUGCAAGAAGAUAUGCUGGAAUCCCUGCUUCUUGGCAUCAUAAGAUUCUGCACUAAACUUGCUCUCCACUUUUCUCAUUGGAACUGCCGAGAAGACCCUGAAGGGACAACAGUAGCUUGGUUUUGCGUCCCAGAAUUGUUUUGUAAUUACUUUGUGUUG